RNAcentral lists this ribosomal RNA (429 nucleotides) under Gemmatimonadota bacterium. RNAcentral describes it as "Gemmatimonadetes bacterium partial 16S ribosomal RNA". It matches the Rfam family "Bacterial small subunit ribosomal RNA", at positions 355 to 776 of the family's 1533-position model. The record is from RNAcentral. Lineage: Bacteria; Pseudomonadati; Gemmatimonadota.
UAGGGAAUCUUCGGCAAUGGACGAAAGUCUGACCGAGCCACGCCGCGUGAGUGAAGAAGGUUUUCGGAUCGUAAAACUCUGUUGUUAGAGAAGAACAAGGACGUUAGUAACUGAACGUCCCCUGACGGUAUCUAACCAGAAAGCCACGGCUAACUACGUGCCAGCAGCCGCGGUAAUACGUAGGUGGCAAGCGUUGUCCGGAUUUAUUGGGCGUAAAGCGAGCGCAGGCGGUUUCUUAAGUCUGAUGUGAAAGCCCCCGGCUCAACCGGGGAGGGUCAUUGGAAACUGGGAGACUUGAGUGCAGAAGAGGAGAGUGUAAUUCCAUGUGUAGCGGUGAAAUGCGUAGAUAUAUGGAGGAACACCAGUUGCGAAGGCGGCUCUCUGGUCUGUAACUGACGCUGAGGCUCGAAAGCGUGGGGAGCAAACAGG